Molecule: long non-coding RNA, 232 nt
Filed under: Physcomitrium patens
Lineage: Eukaryota; Viridiplantae; Streptophyta; Bryopsida; Funariales; Funariaceae
Description: long non-coding RNA (PPAT_LNC009683)
Source: RNAcentral
CGUGAAGAUUUAUCAAAUCAAGUAGAAGGAAGAGCAUUGAGGACAAAAUCUACAGAGGGAAUUUGUAGGUUUUUGCUUGAAGAUGUCAUUUGCCGUUACGGGUGCGUAGGAAAAAUCACUGCAGAUCGUGGAGAAUUAAAUGCACAAGAAGCUCGUAAGUUCUUUGAAAAAUGUGGAGUUAAACUAUCACUGACUACUGCUUAUAAUCCGGAAGGGAAUGCGAAAAGCGAAC